GGAAUGAUGUGAGGAAGACCAUCCAUGGAAUGUACUGAGCGACCUGAAGCCCUGGAUCACCCGACCCGGGCUGAAUUUAUCGAACUCUUUCAAGCUAUCCAAGGAUUAGCUAUAGCUGUAGGACAAAAUCAAGCCAACCCUUGUCCACUCUUGCCCCAGAAUUUUGAAACACUGAGAGAUCAAUUUCCCACAACAUAAUAGAGUUUAGAAAACUUAACCUCCCGGACUUUGAAGGUGGCCCUGAUCCCUUAGUAACUGAAGCCUGAAUCCUACAGAUAGAGAAGCUCUUCUCUGUCCUAGACCUAAGUGAGGAACAGAAAGUUCCCCUUACAGCCUUUAUGUUAAACGGUGAGCAGAACACUAGUGGCUACUUAAAAAGGAAGUCUUGCCUACCCCUACCACCUGGAAAGUUCUCAUGGAUGCGUUCUUUGAUAACUUCUUCCCUGCCUAUGUACAGGAAAAGAAGGAGGAGAAAUUUCAGGACCUCUACCAAGAGAGUCUAACGAUCGCUAUUAUGCAGCC
Molecule: long non-coding RNA, 522 nt
Filed under: Carica papaya (papaya)
Lineage: Eukaryota; Viridiplantae; Streptophyta; Magnoliopsida; Brassicales; Caricaceae
Description: long non-coding RNA (CPAP_LNC005596)
Source: RNAcentral